AAUGAACGUUGGCGGCGUGGAUUAGGCAUGCAAGUCGAGCGAUGAAACAGUGCUUGCACUGUGGAUUAGCGGCGAAAGGGAGAGUAACGCGUGGAUUAUCUGCCCUCAGACCCGGGAUAGCUGCGGGAAACUGCAGGUAAUACCGGAUGAUGUCUCCGGACUAAAUGGUGAGAUUCCGCCUGAGGAUGGGUCCGCGUCCUACUAGCUUGUUGGUGGGGUAACGGCCUACCAAGGCAAUGAUGGGUACCGGGUGUGAGAGCAUGGCCCGGCUCACUGGGACUGAGACACUGCCCAGACACCUACGGGUGGCUGCAGUCGAGAAUCUUCGGCAAUGGACGAAAGUCUGACCGAGCGACGCCGCGUGCGGGAUGAAGGUCUUCGGAUUGUAAACCGCUGUCAGUUGGGAGGAAAUCUAUGGGGGCUAUCCCCCAUAGUUGACCUAUCUUCAGAGGAAGGACGGGCUAAGUUCGUG
This 472-nucleotide ribosomal RNA is filed under the name uncultured bacterium. RNAcentral describes it as "bacterial SSU rRNA". It matches the Rfam family "Bacterial small subunit ribosomal RNA", at positions 29 to 507 of the family's 1533-position model. The record is from RNAcentral.